GCUCUUCCUGUAAGCAGCCAGAGGUGAUCUGUGAAGAUGGUUCGCCACUCUCUUGACCUAGAAAACCCCACAAAAUCAUGCAAAUCAAGAGGUUCAAACCUUCGUGUUCACUUUUAGAACACCCGGGAAACUGCCCAGGCCAUCAAGGGUACGCAUAUCUACAAAGCCACCAAGUAUCUGAAGGAUGUCACUUUAAAGAAGCAAUGUGUGCCAUUCCGGCAGUAUAAUGGUGGAGUCGGUAGGUGUGUCCAGGCCAAACAGUGGGGCUGGACACAGGGACGGUAGCCAAAGAAGAGUGCUGAAUUUUUGCUACACAUGCUUAAAAAUGCAGAGAGUAAUGCUGAACUGAGGGUUUAGACGUAGAUUCUCUAGUCAUUGAACAUGUACACAUCCAAGUGAACAAGGCACCUAAGAUGCGCCGAUGAACCUACAGAGCUCAUGGCCGGAUUAACCCAUACAUGAGUCCCCCUGCCACAUUGAGAUGAUCCUCACUGAGAAGGAACAGACCGUUCCAAAGCCAGAGAGCAUAUUAUAUAGAAGAAAAAGAUAUCCCAGAAGAAACUGAAGAAACAAAAACUCAUGGUGCAGGAAUGAAUUCA
Molecule: long non-coding RNA, 599 nt
Filed under: Mus musculus (house mouse)
Lineage: Eukaryota; Metazoa; Chordata; Mammalia; Rodentia; Muridae
Description: long non-coding RNA chr13:24195896-24196495
Source: RNAcentral